This is a small nuclear RNA of Otolemur garnettii (small-eared galago), 62 nucleotides long. Its record names the gene U7. It matches the Rfam family "U7 small nuclear RNA". Rfam says of the family: Animal histone pre-mRNAs are spliced by a different mechanism than nuclear pre-mRNAs and self-splicing introns. This processing involves the U7 snRNP, which contains only one RNA species: U7. The record is from Ensembl. NCBI's taxonomy places the organism in Eukaryota, Metazoa, Chordata, Mammalia, Primates, Galagidae.
UAGUAUUACAGCUCUUUUAGAAUUUGUCUAGCACGUUUUCUGGUCUCUACUGGAAGACACUC